Molecule: transfer RNA, 104 nt
Filed under: Gymnopilus junonius
Lineage: Eukaryota; Fungi; Basidiomycota; Agaricomycetes; Agaricales; Galerinaceae
Rfam family: tRNA
About the family: Transfer RNA (tRNA) molecules are approximately 80 nucleotides in length. Their secondary structure includes four short double-helical elements and three loops (D, anti-codon, and T loops).
Source: Rfam by way of RNAcentral
GCUUCCUUGGCUCAGUUGGCUAGAGCGCAGGUCUCAUAUUGACUUAUGAGUGGUCGCCUGAUCAUGCAAUCCUGAGGUCGCAAGUUCGAGCCUUGCAGGGAGCA